This 263-nucleotide ribosomal RNA is filed under the name uncultured bacterium. RNAcentral's name for it is "partial 16S ribosomal RNA". It matches the Rfam family "Bacterial small subunit ribosomal RNA", at positions 793 to 1055 of the family's 1533-position model. The record is from RNAcentral.
GUCCACGCGGUAAACGAUGUCAACUAGCCGUUGGGAGGGUAAUCCUUUUAGUGGCGCAGCUAACGCACUAAGUUGACCGCCUGGGGAGUACGGUCGCAAGAUUAAAACUCAAAUGAAUUGACGGGGGCCCGCACAAGCGGUGGAGCAUGUGGUUUAAUUCGACGCAACGCGAAGAACCUUACCUACUCUUGACAUCCAGAGAACUCGGCAGAGAUGCCUUGGUGCCUUCGGGAGCUCUGAGACAGGUGCUGCAUGGCUGUCGU